GUUUUUCCUCCCCAUACUUAUCCAUCUCUGCAUCUGGGUGCUGUUUGCAGCUGUAGAUUAUCUGCUGUAUCGGCUCAUUUUCUCAGUGAGCAAGCAGUUUCAAAGCUUGCCAGGGUUUGAGGUUCACUUGAAACUGCACGGAGAGAUUCAUUUCUGGCUUCCAGUCCUGAAAAUGAUUAGGAAGAAGCAAAUGGACAUGGCAAGUGCAGACAAGCCAUGAGAGACCCCGACUACUCCUCAGCCACAUCGCACCAACAAUUCUCCUCAGGUCUAGGAUGGCAGUCACUAUUCAUGCCGGAUAAUAGAGAACUAUGUGACGCAGUCCUCUCAGGAGUCUGAGUUUACAGAGCCAACUUGCAGCACCUGGUUAUGCCUCCUUUCAUCUCAAAGCCAAAGAGCUGCCAGGUAAAUGGUUAUGUGGUCUAUGUUCCAAACAAACCACAUGAUCUUGCCUGUGUCACAAUGUAACAAGACUCUAGCUGGGUCCCCUGGUGAUGAGUUUCAGCAUAGAAUAAUGUUCAAGGAAAAGAAAACGAAAACAGUUUAAAUCUCUACCACAGCCUCACAAGCAAAUGCUAAG
This 580-nucleotide small RNA is filed under the name Pan troglodytes (chimpanzee). Its description in RNAcentral is "processed transcript". The record is from RNAcentral. Lineage: Eukaryota; Metazoa; Chordata; Mammalia; Primates; Hominidae.